UGGGGGAUAUUGCACAAUGGAGGAAACUCUGAUGCAGCAAUGCCGCGUGAGGGAUGAAGGUUUUCGGAUUGUAAACCUCUGUCUUCAGGGACGAUAAUGACGGUACCUGACUAAGAAGCCCCGGCUAACUACGUGCCAGCAGCCGCGGUAAUACGAAGGGGGCAAGCGUUGUUCGGAAUUACUGGGCGUAAAGCGCACGCAGGCGGCGUGACGCGUCAGAAGUGAAAUCCCCGGGCUCAACCUGGGAACUGCUUUUGAAACGGUCAUGCUUGAAUCAUGGAGAGGGUAGCGGAAUUCCGAGUGUAGAGGUGAAAUUCGUAGAUAUUAGGAGGAACACCGGUGGCGAAGGCGGCUACCUGGCCAUGUAUUGACGCUCAGGUGCGAAAGCGUGGGGAGCAAACA
Molecule: ribosomal RNA, 402 nt
Filed under: uncultured bacterium
Lineage: Bacteria
Description: bacterial SSU rRNA
Rfam family: Bacterial small subunit ribosomal RNA
Source: RNAcentral